UAACUUGACAUAAAUAAAUCAGUUAGUUUCAAAGUAACGUUUUAAGAAGGUAUCACGCAAAAUGAAAUAAAAUUCAAGAAGUCGAUAAUAUCAACAAAAUGUAUAUUAAUUAGCUAACUUACCAGUCAAACUAUAAAACUACCAUUUUUUUUUGUUACAUUUUUCUUUAAACUCCUCACUUUGUUUCACACCAUUUUCUCUUAUACUUCCGAGGCCAAGGUCAGAACUUUCGGCAUCUACAGAAGAAAAUAAGUGUUUGUCAAAAUGCUUGAGUGAGUGUUUGAUUAUAUGGUUUCGUACCGUGGUUCGCGAGCAUAAGUGAAUUCGGAUUGCCUCUUCCGAAUCAACAAAAGAGGCCUUCUCCCAAACGAUCCAAGCAAAAGUGUUUUUGGUUUCGGAUAGUUGAAGCCGACUUAUGAAUUUUUCCAAGCCUUCAUACCUAUAACAAAUGAAGGUUGGUUUAUUCAAUGUGAGUAUACAAAUCAUUUGAAAACAGGAAAUUAUAACUCUGGUUAUAAUUAUAUUUAGAAGAGCUAUUCUUCAAGCUUCUAAGUAAAUUACUGUCCCAUUUUUCAAUCACAAAAAUCCCUAAGCAAUCAACUUUAGUUGGAAGCUCUCUCAGGGUAGAACCCACCUAAAAUCUUAAACGGUGAAAGAGUGUCACUCUUGAUAAACACUUUUUAAUGUGGCACUUUAAAACUGGAUGCAGAUUGUAACAAUCUAGAAAGCUGGUUGAGGAACAACGCUUUUUUGAUGCGGCAGAGUGGGUGAUAUACUGAGCAGUGACAUCUCCGACAGCCCAAAGGGCGGCAGAAGUGAUGACUUGGGUCUUCACCGGAUGAACAGAGAGGCUGUUCUGAUACCAAUUCCAGAACUUCAACAUCAUCAUCUAUUCUAUUCUAUUAAAGGGUUGGUUGGUUAAACUCUCCCCAACGAUGAUAAACAAACAUUCAACAAUUUUGCAUUUUGCCUUUACCUUUAUCCAAAUUAAAUUAAAGGUUAAAUAUGUUUUUGUUCCAUGUAAUUUUUUAAAAUUUCGUUUCAAGCCUGAAGUUUACUUGAAACUGGACUGAUAUGUCAUAUGUGCAAUCCACUACCAUUAUUUGUUUCA
Long non-coding RNA from Trifolium pratense (red clover), 1111 nucleotides. RefSeq lists it as uncharacterized. The transcript is spliced from 2 exons. NCBI's taxonomy places the organism in Eukaryota, Viridiplantae, Streptophyta, Magnoliopsida, Fabales, Fabaceae. The record is from RefSeq and is a predicted model, not a curated record.